CGUGUAGGCGGGUUUGUAAGUUGGAUGUGAAAUACCAUGGCUCAACCAUGGGGCUGCAUUCAAAACUACAAGUCUUGAGUGCCGGAGAGGAAAGCGGAAUUCCUAGUGUAGCGGUGAAAUGCGUAGAUAUUAGGAGGAACACCAGUGGCGAAGGCGGCUUUCUGGACGGUAACUGACGCUGAGGCGCGAAAGCGUGGGGAGCAAACA
RNAcentral lists this ribosomal RNA (207 nucleotides) under uncultured Clostridia bacterium. RNAcentral's name for it is "partial 16S ribosomal RNA". It matches the Rfam family "Bacterial small subunit ribosomal RNA", at positions 568 to 774 of the family's 1533-position model. Lineage: Bacteria; Bacillati; Bacillota; Clostridia. The record is from RNAcentral.